UGAUGAAGAUGAAUGAAGUUAUGCAGACGAUGUGGUUUUGGAGUAUGAACUUUGUGAUAUGGUUAGUGAGUUAGAAAUUGAAGGUUUGUUGUUUGUUUAUGGUGGAAAAGUUGGUGUUACAUGAAAAAGAAAGGUUUAUAAAUGGUGAUUUAUUUAAAGAAGGAUUUGUAUGUAUGAGAUGUAGGUUGAUGGAUGUGUGUUGUAUGAAGUUGGUGGAAGGUUUGAGGAAAAGGUUU
RNAcentral lists this long non-coding RNA (236 nucleotides) under Lathyrus oleraceus (garden pea). Its description in RNAcentral is "Pisum sativum (pea) long non-coding RNA (PSAT_LNC028896)". The record is from RNAcentral. Lineage: Eukaryota; Viridiplantae; Streptophyta; Magnoliopsida; Fabales; Fabaceae.